Molecule: ribosomal RNA, 473 nt
Filed under: uncultured beta proteobacterium
Lineage: Bacteria; Pseudomonadati; Pseudomonadota; Betaproteobacteria
Description: bacterial SSU rRNA
Rfam family: Bacterial small subunit ribosomal RNA
Source: RNAcentral
GAGUUUGAUCUUGGCUCAGAUUGAACGCUGGCGGAAUGCUUUACACAUGCAAGUCGAGCGGCAGCGCGGGGCAACCUGGCGGCGAGCGGCGAACGGGUGAGUAAUGCAUCGGAACAUGUCCAUGUCGUGGGGGAUAGCCCGGCGAAAGCCGGAUUAAUACCGCAUACGCCCGAGAGGGGAAAGUGGGGGACCGCAAGGCCUCACGCGAUUGGGUUGGCCGAUGUCCGAUUAGCUAGUUGGCGGGGUAAUGGCCCACCAAGGCGAUGAUCGGUAGCUGGUCUGAGAGGAUGAUCAGCCACACUGGGACUGAGACACGGCCCAGACUCCUACGGGAGGCAGCAGUGGGGAAUUUUGGACAAUGGGGGCAACCCUGAUCCAGCCAUUCCGCGUGAGUGAAGAAGGCCUUCGGUUGUAAGCUCUUUGUCCGGACGAACGGUAGAGCGUGAUAUCGCUCGCUACUGACGGUACCGGAA